This 500-nucleotide small RNA is filed under the name Histoplasma capsulatum var. duboisii H88. Its description in RNAcentral is "Histoplasma capsulatum H88 hypothetical RNA". The record is from RNAcentral. Lineage: Eukaryota; Fungi; Ascomycota; Eurotiomycetes; Onygenales; Ajellomycetaceae.
UGCACUGAAUCGGUUUGGUUUCUCGGAUUGCUUGGGAAAGUACGGAGUCCUCCAUCUGCAGAUCCCGCACUUCCUCAGGCAUCACAAUUGUUUUUUUUUUCUUUGUCUCCCGAGCGAUGCAGUUAGUCCGCCGUGGCUGGCUUGGCUGGUGCCUGUUCAGAAUAUUAUCGUCCUCUGGAGUGGGUUGUGGGGUUGUGGAGGGAAGAGAAAAUUGAAACAGGAUAUGGCUGGCAGUACAGGGUUACCGGGAACGCUGUGAACGUUGAUUCUUCUGUUGCAAUAUUAUUGAUAGAAAGGUUGAGGAUCUGGAGGAGAUGGCGGACUCGGUGUCUGGUUAACCUUCAUUUACUGAGAACAGGGUCUGCCAACCCUACCUCAAAUAAGGCAUGCUACAUUAACUACGUUAAAGAGCAGAAUUAUCUGUCUAACAAAGCUUCGAGGACAGAACUGGUGGUAGAGAGGUGACUUCUGCGCAGCUUUAUUGCCUCCUAAAUAUGCGG